AGGACGAACGCUGGCGGCGUGCUUAACACAUGCAAGUCACGGGGGUCCCGCAAGGGAUAACCGGCGAACGGGUGCGUAACACGUGAGCGACCUGCCUUUGUGUGGGGGGAUAGCCGGGCUAACGCCCGGGUAAUACCGCAUACGGUUCUCGAGGGGAGUCCCUUGGGAAAGAAACCUCCGGGGCACAGAGAGGGGCUCGCGGCCUAUCAGCUAGUUGGCGGGUAAUGGCCCACCAAGGCGACGACGGGUAGCUGGUCUGAGAGGAUGGCCAGCCACAUUGGGACUGAGAGACGGCCCAGACUCCUACGGGAGGCAGCAGUGGGGAAUCUUGCGCAAUGGCCGACAGGCUGACGCAGCGACGCCGCGUGUGGGAGGACGCCCUCGGGGUGUAAACCACUGUUGCCCGGGACGACAGCCAGUUGCGACUGGCCUGACGUACCGGGUAGAGGAAGCCACCGGACUAACCCCGUCGCCAGCAGCCGCGGU
This 486-nucleotide ribosomal RNA is filed under the name uncultured soil bacterium. Its description in RNAcentral is "bacterial SSU rRNA". It matches the Rfam family "Bacterial small subunit ribosomal RNA", at positions 26 to 521 of the family's 1533-position model. The record is from RNAcentral.